RNAcentral lists this ribosomal RNA (253 nucleotides) under uncultured bacterium. RNAcentral's name for it is "partial 16S ribosomal RNA". It matches the Rfam family "Bacterial small subunit ribosomal RNA", at positions 524 to 776 of the family's 1533-position model. The record is from RNAcentral.
UACGAAGGGGGCUAGCGUUGCUCGGAAUCACUGGGCGUAAAGCGCACGUAGGCGGAUUGUUAAGUCAGGGGUGAAAUCCUGGAGCUCAACUCCAGAACUGCCUUUGAUACUGGCGAUCUUGAGUCCGGGAGAGGUGAGUGGAACUGCGAGUGUAGAGGUGAAAUUCGUAGAUAUUCGCAAGAGCACCAGUGGCGAAGGCGGCUCACUGGCCCGGUACUGACGCUGAGGUGCGAAAGCGUGGGGAGCAAACAGG